RNAcentral lists this transfer RNA (66 nucleotides) under Bradyrhizobium sp. 186. RNAcentral's name for it is "tRNA-OTHER". It matches the Rfam family "tRNA". From Rfam's summary of the family: Transfer RNA (tRNA) molecules are approximately 80 nucleotides in length. Their secondary structure includes four short double-helical elements and three loops (D, anti-codon, and T loops). Further hydrogen bonds mediate the characteristic L-shaped molecular structure. tRNAs have two regions of fundamental functional importance: the anti-codon, which is responsible for specific mRNA codon recognition, and the 3' end, to which the tRNAs corresponding amino acid is attached (by aminoacyl-tRNA synthetases). tRNAs cope with the degeneracy of the genetic code in two manners: having more than one tRNA (with a specific anti-codon) for a particular amino acid; and 'wobble' base-pairing, i.e. permitting non-standard base-pairing at the 3rd anti-codon position. The record is from RNAcentral. Lineage: Bacteria; Pseudomonadati; Pseudomonadota; Alphaproteobacteria; Hyphomicrobiales; Nitrobacteraceae.
GGGCGCGUGGGAAGCAAAUGACUUUUAAUCACGGGGUCCUGGGUUCGAGCCCCAGCGCGCUCACCA